This 1423-nucleotide ribosomal RNA is filed under the name metagenome. RNAcentral's name for it is "bacterial LSU rRNA". It matches the Rfam family "Bacterial large subunit ribosomal RNA", at positions 1479 to 2925 of the family's 2925-position model. The record is from RNAcentral.
GGGAGAGCACGAGCCGGAAAUGGAAAAGCCGGUACAAGCGUAUAGCAGUCAUGCAGGCAAAACCGCAUGAAAAAUGUAAAGCGUUAUGUGGAUCGAACAUUAGUAGAGAAGCGUGUGAGCCAGCUGCCAAGAAAAGCCGCUAUUGCUUCAUAAGUACCCGUACCGUAAACCGACACAGGUGGAUGAGGAGAGAAUCCUAAGGCCGGCGGGAGAAGUGUUGUUAAGGAACUCGGCAAAAUGACUCCGUAACUUCGGGAGAAGGAGUGCCACAGAGAUGUGGCCGCAGAGAAAUGGCCCAAGCAACUGUUUAGCAAAAACACAGGUCUAUGCAAAACCGAAAGGUGAGGUAUAUGGGCUGACGCCUGCCCGGUGCUGGAAGGUUAAGAGGAGAGGUUAGAGCAAUCGAAGCUUUGAAUUUAAGCCCCAGUAAACGGCGGCCGUAACGAUAACGGUCCUAAGGUAGCGAAAUUCCUUGUCGGGUAAGUUCCGACCCGCACGAAAGGCGUAAUGAUUUGGGCACUGUCUCAACAACACACCCGGUGAAAUUGAAAUACCAGUGAAGAUGCUGGUUACCUGCGCCAGGACGGAAAGACCCCAUGGAGCUUUACUCCAGUUUGAUACUGGGAUUCGGUACUGUCUGUACAGGAUAGGUGGGAGGCUAGGAAAUGGUGACGCCAGUUGCCAUGGAGCCAACCUUGGGAUACCACCCUUACAGUACUGGGUUUCUAACCUGCAGCCGUGACCCGGCUGGGGGACAAUGUCUGACGGGGAGUUUGACUGGGGCGGUCGCCUCCGAAAGAGUAUCGGAGGCGCUCAAAGGUUCCCUCAGAACGGUUGGAAACCGUUCGAAGAGUGCAAAGGCAGAAGGGAGCUUGACUGCGACACCGACGGGUGGAGCAGAUACGAAAGUAGGACUUAGUGAUCCGGUGUAUAAAGUGGGAUUGCCAUCGCUCAACGGAUAAAAGCUACCCUGGGAUAACAGGCUUAUCACUCCCAAGAGUUCACAUCGACGGAGUGGUUUGGCACCUCGAUGUCGGCUCAUCGCAUCCUGGAGCUGUAGCAGGUUCCAAGGGUUGGGCUGUUCGCCCAUUAAAGCGGUACGCGAGCUGGGUUCAGAACGUCGUGAGACAGUUCGGUCCCUAUCCGGCGUGGGCGUAGGAUAUUUGAGAGGAGCUGUCCUUAGUACGAGAGGACCGGGAUGGACAAACCUCUGGUGUAUCUGUUGUUUUACCAAAGGCAUGGCAGAGUAGCCAAGUUUGGCAGGGAUAAACGCUGAAGGCAUCUAAGCGUGAAGCCCCCCUCAAGAUAAGAUAUCCCAUCUUCGGAGUAAGACCCCUUGAAGACUACAAGGUUGAUAGGCUUCAGGUGUAAGUGUGGUAACGCACUCAGCUGAGAAGUACUAAUAGGUCGAGGACUUAUCAAG